This is a long non-coding RNA of Olea europaea var. sylvestris, 627 nucleotides long. RefSeq lists it as uncharacterized. The transcript has 2 exons. The record is from RefSeq and is a predicted model, not a curated record. Lineage: Eukaryota; Viridiplantae; Streptophyta; Magnoliopsida; Lamiales; Oleaceae.
ACUUCUUCUACAUACGUAUUAAUUACGGUAAAAUAAAGAAAGAUAUUCAAAACCUUCUUUCUUUCAAGCUUUGCUCUCACUAUUCCAAUUCCUCAUUUCUCACAGCCUUCCCCUUCCUCGAACUCCCCUUUGCAGCUCACGGCCAAUCUUGUUGCCAUAUUGUUGCCCCUCUUCGUUCUCUCCUACUUGGAUCCGUCGGAGAUUGCCAAGCUCGCACGGAUCAUCCAGGCUUUGUGAGCAACCGCCUCCAUGAAUUUCAAUCCUUCUAACCAUAGGUCUUUGCUAGAUGGCAUAGAGUGCUUGAGCUAUUGUUUUGUGCCAAGCAAUAUGGCACAGGAGUAGAAGUUUGGGCAGAUCGAAGGUGGAGGUGGAAACAUCUGGCAACGACAACUGCAACUAUUGGUGUAGUCGUUGACUUCUUCCAGCCAAAAAGAUUGAAAAAAACUCAGCUUAUUCUCCUAUUCGGAUCUUCAUUAAGUGGAGGUCAAUGGGUUAGCUAAGUUGCUAAAUGAUGGUGGAAAUGAAUUGAAUUAAAGAUACUUGACGUUUUGAAUGGUAUUUUGUCGGUAAACUGACUUGAAACGCUUGGCAAUAAAUGGAGUAAGUGAAGAGAUAAUGGUUAUCUCA